GAUGAACGCUGGCGGCGUGCCUAAUACAUGCAAGUCGAGCGAACGGACGAGAAGCUUGCUUCUCUGAUGUUAGCGGCGGACGGGUGAGUAACACGUGGAUAACCUACCUAUAAGACUGGGAUAACUUCGGGAAACCGGAGCUAAUACCGGAUAAUAUUUUGAACCGCAUGGUUCAAAAGUGAAAGACGGUCUUGCUGUCACUUAUAGAUGGAUCCGCGCUGCAUUAGCUAGUUGGUAAGGUAACGGCUUACCAAGGCAACGAUGCAUAGCCGACCUGAGAGGGUGAUCGGCCACACUGGAACUGGGACACGGUCCAGACUCCUACGGGAGGCAGCAGUAGGGAAUCUUCCGCAAUGGGCGAAAGCCUGACGGAGCAACGCCGCGUGAGUGAUGAAGGUCUUCGGAUCGUAAAACUCUGUUAUUAGGGAAGAACAUAUGUGUAAGUAACUGUGCACAUCUUGACGGUACCUAAUCAGAAAGCCACGGCUAACUACGUGCCAGCAGCCGCGGUAAUACGUAGGUGGCAAGCGUUAUCCGGAAUUAUUGGGCGUAAAGCGCGCGUAGGCGGUUUUUUAAGUCUGAUGUGAAAGCCCACGGCUCAACCGUGGAGGGUCAUUGGAAACUGGAAAACUUGAGUGCAGAAGAGGAAAGUGGAAUUCCAUGUGUAGCGGUGAAAUGCGCAGAGAUAUGGAGGAACACCAGUGGCGAAGGCGACUUUCUGGUCUGUAACUGACGCUGAUGUGCGAAAGCGUGGGGAUCAAACAGGAUUAGAUACCCUGGUAGUCCACGCCGUAAACGAUGAGUGCUAAGUGUUAGGGGGUUUCCGCCCCUUAGUGCUGCAGCUAACGCAUUAAGCACUCCGCCUGGGGAGUACGACCGCAAGGUUGAAACUCAAAGGAAUUGACGGGGACCCGCACAAGCGGUGGAGCAUGUGGUUUAAUUCGAAGCAACGCGAAGAACCUUACCAAAUCUUGACAUCCUUUGACAACUCUAGAGAUAGAGCCUUCCCCUUCGGGGGGCAAAGUGACAGGUGGUGCAUGGUUGUCGUCAGCUCGUGUCGUGAGAUGUUGGGUUAAGUCCCGCAACGAGCGCAACCCUUAAGCUUAGUUGCCAUCAUUAAGUUGGGCACUCUAAGUUGACUGCCGGUGACAAACCGGAGGAAGGUGGGGAUGACGUCAAAUCAUCAUGCCCCUUAUGAUUUGGGCUACACACGUGCUACAAUGGACAAUACAAAGGGCAGCGAAACCGCGAGGUCAAGCAAAUCCCAUAAAGUUGUUCUCAGUUCGGAUUGUAGUCUGCAACUCGACUACAUGAAGCUGGAAUCGCUAGUAAUCGUAGAUCAGCAUGCUACGGUGAAUACGUUCCCGGGUCU
This 1372-nucleotide ribosomal RNA is filed under the name uncultured bacterium. Its description in RNAcentral is "bacterial SSU rRNA". It matches the Rfam family "Bacterial small subunit ribosomal RNA", at positions 28 to 1381 of the family's 1533-position model. The record is from RNAcentral.